Molecule: ribosomal RNA, 253 nt
Filed under: uncultured bacterium
Lineage: Bacteria
Description: partial 16S ribosomal RNA
Rfam family: Bacterial small subunit ribosomal RNA
Source: RNAcentral
AACGUAGGAGACAAACGUUAUCCGGAGCUACUGGGCGUAAAGGGCGUGUAGGCGGUUUGUUAAGUCUGGCGUGAAAGCUCUCGGCUAAACCGGGAGAGGUCGUUGGAUACUGGCAGACUAGAGGACGGUAGAGGCGUGUGGAAUUCCGGGUGUAGUGGUGAAAUGCGUAGAGAUCAGGAGGAACACCAAUGGCGAAGGCAGCUCGCUGGAACGGUACUGACGCUGAGGCGCGAAAGCGUGGGGAGCGAACAGG